CUUAACAGGAUUAGAUACCCUGGUAGUCCACGCCCUAAACGAUGUACACUAGUUGUUGUGAGGCUCGACCUUGCAGUAAUGCAGUUAACACAUUAAGUGUACCGCCUGGGGAGUACGGUCGCAAGAUUAAAACUCAAAGGAAUAGACGGGGACCCGCACAAGCGGUGGAGCAUGUGGUUUAAUUCGACGAUACACGAAGAACCUUACCUGGACUUGACAUAGUAAGAACUUUCUAGAGAUAGAUUGGUGUCUGCUUGCAGAAACUUAUAUACAGGUGCUGCACGGCUGUCGUCAGCUCGUGUCGUGAGAUGUUGGGUUAAGUCCUGCAACGAGCGCAACCCUCGUCAUUAGUUGCUAACAGUUCGGCUGAGAACUCUAAUGAGACUGCCUACGCAAGUAGGAGGAAGGUGAGGACGACGUCAAGUCAUCAUGGCCCUUACGUCCAGGGCUACACACGUGCUACAAUGGGGUAUACAAAGAGCAGCAAUACGGUGACGUGGAGCAAAUCUCAAAAAUAUCUCCCAGUUCGGAUUGUAGUCUGCAACUCGACUACAUGAAGUUGGAAUCGCUAGUAAUCGUAGAUCAGCUAUGCUACGGUGAAUACGUUCCCGGGUCUUGUACUCACCGCCCGUCACACCAUGGGAGUUGAACUCAUUCGAAGCGGGGAUGCUAAAAUAGCUACCUUCCACAGUGGAUUCAGCGACUGGGGUGAAGUCGUAACAAGGUAACC
This 730-nucleotide ribosomal RNA is filed under the name uncultured bacterium. RNAcentral describes it as "bacterial SSU rRNA". It matches the Rfam family "Bacterial small subunit ribosomal RNA", at positions 769 to 1501 of the family's 1533-position model. The record is from RNAcentral.